Molecule: ribosomal RNA, 1394 nt
Filed under: Pediococcus pentosaceus
Lineage: Bacteria; Bacillati; Bacillota; Bacilli; Lactobacillales; Lactobacillaceae
Description: bacterial SSU rRNA
Rfam family: Bacterial small subunit ribosomal RNA
Source: RNAcentral
GCAGUCGACGACUUCCGUUAUUGAUUAUGACGUACUUGUACUGAUUGAGAUUUUAACACGAAGUGAGUGGCGAACGGGUGAGUAACACGUGGGUAACCUGCCCAGAAGUAGGGGAUAACACCUGGAAACAGAUGCUAAUACCGUAUAACAGAGAAAACCGCAUGGUUUUCUUUUAAAAGAUGGCUCUGCUAUCACUUCUGGAUGGACCCGCGGCGUAUUAGCUAGUUGGUGAGGUAAAGGCUCACCAAGGCAGUGAUACGUAGCCGACCUGAGAGGGUAAUCGGCCACAUUGGGACUGAGACACGGCCCAGACUCCUACGGGAGGCAGCAGUAGGGAAUCUUCCACAAUGGACGCAAGUCUGAUGGAGCAACGCCGCGUGAGUGAAGAAGGGUUUCGGCUCGUAAAGCUCUGUUGUUAAAGAAGAACGUGGGUAAGAGUAACUGUUUACCCAGUGACGGUAUUUAACCAGAAAGCCACGGCUAACUACGUGCCAGCAGCCGCGGUAAUACGUAGGUGGCAAGCGUUAUCCGGAUUUAUUGGGCGUAAAGCGAGCGCAGGCGGUCUUUUAAGUCUAAUGUGAAAGCCUUCGGCUCAACCGAAGAAGUGCAUUGGAAACUGGGAGACUUGAGUGCAGAAGAGGACAGUGGAACUCCAUGUGUAGCGGUGAAAUGCGUAGAUAUAUGGAAGAACACCAGUGGCGAAGGCGGCUGUCUGGUCUGCAACUGACGCUGAGGCUCGAAAGCAUGGGUAGCGAACAGGAUUAGAUACCCUGGUAGUCCAUGCCGUAAACGAUGAUUACUAAGUGUUGGAGGGUUUCCGCCCUUCAGUGCUGCAGCUAACGCAUUAAGUAAUCCGCCUGGGGAGUACGACCGCAAGGUUGAAACUCAAAAGAAUUGACGGGGGCCCGCACAAGCGGUGGAGCAUGUGGUUUAAUUCGAAGCUACGCGAAGAACCUUACCAGGUCUUGACAUCUUCUGACAGUCUAAGAGAUUAGAGGUUCCCUUCGGGGACAGAAUGACAGGUGGUGCAUGGUUGUCGUCAGCUCGUGUCGUGAGAUGUUGGGUUAAGUCCCGCAACGAGCGCAACCCUUAUUACUAGUUGCCAGCAUUAAGUUGGGCACUCUAGUGAGACUGCCGGUGACAAACCGGAGGAAGGUGGGGACGACGUCAAAUCAUCAUGCCCCUUAUGACCUGGGCUACACACGUGCUACAAUGGAUGGUACAACGAGUCGCGAGACCGCGAGGUUAAGCUAAUCUCUUAAAACCAUUCUCAGUUCGGACUGUAGGCUGCAACUCGCCUACACGAAGUCGGAAUCGCUAGUAAUCGCGGAUCAGCAUGCCGCGGUGAAUACGUUCCCGGGCCUUGUACACACCGCCCGUCACACCAUGAGAGU